UGUGCACCACCACCAUGCAUAUCAUCAUCUUCGUCAUAUGCCUCUUGGGCAGCUUGCUGCUUCCUUCGCAUCUCAUCCUCAAUGUUCACAUCAUGCAAAGUAGUCUCCUCGCACUCGUCUAAUUCCAUGUCAGACACUUGCUGUUUGGGUUUGGGAGGAAGCACGGCCUCAAGGUUCUUGCACUGCUCUGGUGUUAAUGACUCUGGGAAAUCAACAGUGAAGUGAAUUGACAGUUUACCUCUCAUAAAAGGCCUUGGGUACAUCGUCAUUCC
Molecule: long non-coding RNA, 272 nt
Filed under: Capsicum annuum
Lineage: Eukaryota; Viridiplantae; Streptophyta; Magnoliopsida; Solanales; Solanaceae
Description: long non-coding RNA (CANN_LNC019695)
Source: RNAcentral